RNAcentral lists this ribosomal RNA (253 nucleotides) under uncultured bacterium. Its description in RNAcentral is "partial 16S ribosomal RNA". It matches the Rfam family "Bacterial small subunit ribosomal RNA", at positions 524 to 776 of the family's 1533-position model. The record is from RNAcentral.
UACGAAGGGGGCUAGCGUUGCUCGGAAUGACUGGGCGUAAAGGGCGCGUAGGCGGAUGGCACAGUCAGAUGUGAAAUUCCCGGGCUUAACCUGGGGGCUGCAUUUGAUACGUGUUGUCUUGAGUUCGGAAGAGGGUCGUGGAAUUCCCAGUGUAGAGGUGAAAUUCGUAGAUAUUGGGAAGAACACCGGUGGCGAAGGCGGCGACCUGGUCCGACACUGACGCUGAGGCGCGAGAGCGUGGGGAGCAAACAGG